Molecule: non-coding RNA, 94 nt
Organism: Cunninghamella echinulata
Lineage: Eukaryota; Fungi; Mucoromycota; Mucoromycetes; Mucorales; Cunninghamellaceae
Source: the annotation of a GenBank genome assembly
GCCCCAUUGGCUUAGUGGUUAAAGCAUUGUGCUUAUAGUAUACAAACUAUACAAGGUCACGCAAAGAUCGCGGGUUCGACCCCCGCAUGGGGCA